UUUUCCAGCAAAACCAGCCAGCAAAAACAGGGGUUGAGCUGCCGGAGUUGCUCUUGGCUUUCCGCAGAAACCCACCCUUGGCUCCCUGCCCGCUCCCACGCACUCCUGCAUCCCCGUGCCGGGCAGCAGCCCGGGACGUCGCCCACAGCUCCCAAAGCCUUUUUGGGACAGACCCCGCGGGCUGCCCGGGGGAGCCGCAGCAGAGGGGCUGCAGAGCUCGCGUCCAGGACGGCUAAAUGGGAUUAAGGCAGUUAAACUUGCGUAGGAGGCCAUUUAGAAAAUAAAUAAGGAAGAGUGCUGAUAAAGAACUGAUUGAACAGCAAAUCUGACCAUUAUCAAGAUAUCUCUAAAAGCUGAUACCUUCCUGAAAAGAGCAUAAAAUAUGAAAAGGGAACAGCAAGUAGUUGAAUUCACAGGUUAUCCUUUAUAAACAAUUACCAUUUAUUACUAAAUGUAAAUAAAACCCCAGAAUGGCACCUAAAUAUAUGGCAAUUAGUGUGCUGUAGAGGACAAAGACUGUAAGCAGCCAAUAACAUAAACCUGACAUUUCCAGUUUCUCUGUUGCAGUAUGACAAUGCUGGAGAGUUAUGUUUAGCUAUUACUUCUCUGUGCCUGUGCGGAGUUGAUGUGCUCACAGACUGCAGCAUUACAGAGCUGCCUUCCUCUGUUUGGAAAGCAAAAGUAGCUCCUUUACAAUAUGAGUGAGAUGGCAGGAAGAGCAGCACGUGCCAGUUGUCUGUGCAACCAUGCAAGGAAAGUGCAAAUGCCUCCUCCCAGGGUUCCUUCCACGGGGGUCCUUUUGUCACGGCAUCGCUGGAGGAGGGCAGAGCCGUCACAAAUAAACUGCUUCAAAGCUGCAGAUAAAUCUUUCUGUGCACUUGCCACAGUCCGUAUACGCAGCCUGGGGGAAGGAAACAUUCACGUGAAGAUUAGCCUGGCUGUAGCUUCAAGGAGAGUGAAGCUUUCUGCCCAGAUUUUUAAAAACCUACCAGGUUUGGGGGUGAAAUUUAGCACUGCACUUUAUAAAGGCCCCAAACAAUUCCUCCUUCAAACACUAGAGGCUGUUUUCAGGCAGUGUUCCGUUUUCCCCCAUCUCAUCCCUUGUUCUAGCCUUCUGCUACCGAGGGGCUGAUUUUACAGGACCCGUGUUUUGGGGCAGGAGAGCCAAGUUCCUGAAGUACAACACAAAGUGGCAUUCCUCACGCUUGAGAUCAUGUGUCAAGCUGCUGCUUUGACACGAUCUCCUGAAGAAGUGCCAAGAAUGACAAGAGUAAAAAGAGAAAAAUCAGCAGGAAGAGAUUUUUAAAUCAAUCUUCGUUCUGAAGUUACAUAAUAGAGCAAAGUAGAAACUUUUAAGCAAAAACAAAGGACAAAGUUUUCCCCUUUCCUUCAAUGUUGUAUGAUCCAGGAUCCUUCUAGCCUUCAUUUGUUCCUACCAAGGGCCCAACAUCACCACACUUCAUCUCUUUUAAGGCCUGCAAAGCCCUUCUCGGAGCCCUUUUCCUACGCUGAUACCACUGUGAUGUCUUUCCUACAGACACUUCCACAAGUGCCCAACCAUGCAGCCCGUUACCCUGCCUUUAACACCGCAAGUGGGAUUCUUUGAUUCCUUGUUUAACAGUCCAGACAAAUACCUUGGGGUUUUGGUCCCAGCCGUCAGCCUGGCGAUGCUAGCAGGUUGGAACAAACCCCACCUUUGUGAAAUGAUGCAGCAAAUAGGGAAAAUCCCUCCUGGCCACGCUGCCCUUGCAAUGGGGGCAUUUCUGGACCCGGGCUUAAGCACCUGCCUCGUCACACUCACGUAACAGCCCCGGGCUCAGCGCGUUCACACACAAAAUCCACCACAACAGGGGUGACAGAUUUUCUGGUUUUGACCCAAGAGACAUGGCUCAGGGAUGGGCAAGUUCAGCUGGACUUUGACACCAGAGAAAUGCUUUUCAUCUAGUCUCCAGCUGGGUAGCGAGACCCUCCAGCAGGCAUUUUUUCUUUAUUACUUAACAUUACAUGCUUAUAUUUCCCACCCAGACACUGUUUUCAACACAGCCGACACUCACCCUUUUUAUGGGUAAAAUAAUCCUUUGCAACGGAUGGGGAAUCUGUUGUAGCAGCACUUCUGCCAUGUCCAGCUUCUCCUGGCUGCCCACAACCUCGCUGGUGUGGAACAAGGUUAGCGUUAGUGCAUUGCCUCUCACUGCUGGAACAAGGACAGAAGCCCUGGCACUCUUAAGGCUACGUGGUACAAAGUUAUCUCUUGCUUUACAAUAUGGCAAAAAAUGAGUUAAAAUCUGUAAUAACGCAAGGGCAAGGAAACAACUGACACAUGAAAAUACAUUUCAUACAAAGCAAAGCUAUUUUAAGAGGGGGAGGUCAGUGCAGUCAAACCUGAGCUUGGAAUCAGAUGUCCAACCAGCAAAAAAUAUAAAUUAUACAGAGAAAACUUAUAUAAGAAAAGAACACGACAAAAAAAUCACUCACUUCCACAAAAUGAUGCAACUUUAGACCGUUUUAAGUUUUCAAAGCAGCCGGCUUGUGGGAGGAUGCCAGAGAUCCCCAUGUACUUUGGAAGACACUUGGGUCCUUGGUUUGUCCCAGGAGAAUAGUAGUUUUGGGUUUUGUACAAAGGUACAACGAAUCGGAACGCCGAGGUAGCACAGCUCCUUGACACUGAAAAGAAACGUGGGAAAAAAUGAAAACUCCAGCUACAGGACUGGCAGUAACCAGCGAGUCCCAUCGAUGAGUUCCCCCAAACUCCAAAUGAGCCUCCAGGACUGACCUGGUGUCCUGGAGAAAGAAGAAGAGUGGGAGAAGGAGAUGGUAUUUUGCAGUGACUUUUUAUAUAGACUGAGCUUCAUUUCCCACAUGAAAGCCUUCUUAGAUGGUUGGAUGCCAUUUCCACGGGAAUCUGAAAAGAAAGAAAAUCGUGGUGUGAAAUUCAUUGAGUGGCUUUUUCAUAGAAAUGUGAUAAAGGAGCAAAUUAAGUUGGGAAACGUGGGACUUAAGAUACAAUCUUUUCAACUCACUUUGGGGAGGAGGACUCCUUUCCAUUUCUUUUGCUCCAAGUUUGACAGAUGUGCUUUUCUCUAGGGUAUAAAGAGUAAGUAUUGCUAGGAGCACUGUGCCUUUCUUGCACAGACCGUACAUUCCUUACUCACUUUAGCAGCACUGCAUUUUUUCUCUUUAAAAUUGCAGUAUGACUUACGCCUGACAUGUCCUGUACUAAGCUUUCACAAUAUUUUAAGCUGGUGCGUACUAAAUACUGAGCUUAUAAUAAAUACUAAACUCAGAUGAAACCACCUUUGCAUUCAGGCACAGCUCCACUCCAGACUCCGUUUGUUUUGUCCGUACUCGUACAACGGAUGCUCACAUUUCCAACGAGCAGGAAGCCAGAGUCACAGCUGUAAGUCACGGUUGAGUUAUAAGCAAAUUUUUCUACACCUUCGCCAUCAUGCUUUCCGUUGCUAAUUUGAGGAGGUGAAGAGCAGGUAAUUACUGCAGGAAAGAAGGUCAACACGAGUAUUGCUAAAAGCUUCAGUAACACUGAAAAUGCAAAAUGUUUCUUGAGUCCACCUAAGAUUCUUGAAGACAAUAAACUUUGUGGACAACUGAAGAUAGGUAACUAGCACUGCCUUCUGUCUUGACUACCUCUUUCUUGUUUCUGAAGUGUUUCUGUUGUCACAUCUUUCUCCCUCUCACUCCAAGAGUCACAAAAAAUAAACAGGCAACUUGC
Long non-coding RNA from Aquila chrysaetos chrysaetos, 3727 nucleotides. RefSeq lists it as uncharacterized. The record is from RefSeq and is a predicted model, not a curated record. The transcript is spliced from 3 exons. Lineage: Eukaryota; Metazoa; Chordata; Aves; Accipitriformes; Accipitridae.